UUCGGCCAAUCCCUGCAGAAAUCCUUGCGUUUGUUUAGCCAAGCCGCAUGAGAUUGUACAUCAUUUAUUUUGGGUGGGGAGAACAGAUAUACGGACAUGGCGAAGAGAGUUUGAUUUACCAUAAAGUGUUUUUUUUUGGGGGGGGGGGGGGGGGGAGUGGUGGUGGUGGAGAGGAAAUCAGGCUGAGGGCUAUCUCACUAAGGCCGGGCGGUGGCGCUUCCUGUCUCCUCAUUCCGACCACGUGGACCUGUCAGUUUUCAGCGCUCUCUCGACAAGCUGCAACAUCUCAUUCAGGAAACUGACACGAUCGAGAACCCGUCUACCGAACUUCCCAUUCUCCGCCAGGCCUAGAAUCCGGGCCCCCGUUAAACAAAUGGUUUUUAAAGAAAAUAAUCGGCGAAUGUUUAUUUUCGUCUGUAACCAAAAGCGUUGGACUAACUAGCCAGUUCAAACAGACAAAUCUCAAAUGCACCGACCAAGAAAAAAGAUCACAAAAAUAAAAACGACUCAUAAUGAGGAAGUUAAAGGCGACACGACAAAACGGAAAAUGCUACAUGCAUCCGAAUCCAAUCAAAUAUUACACGAUUACGACUUCUCACGUAAAAAAAGUAUAAAGUUCGCAAAAAAUCAUUUUAAAUUUAAAAAAAACAACGCAUUUUCAGCAGCUGCUUCUCAGCCGAACCAAGAAGCGAGAAACUCCAAAGAACGCCACGAAAUCCCCUGAUGUUGCUAUGGUAACGUGCCGCCGCCUGGAACCCCUCCCCUGCCAGCAGCAGAUGGCCCCAGCCUCGCCGCUUUGUGUAUGUCUGUCUGUAUCCCACAGUAAGGCAGUACAGUACCUUCACAGAGAAAAAGGGGACGGAGUCUCUCGGCCGACGCAAAAAUAAAUUCGCGUAUCAGUAAUUGAAAACGCAUGAAAUCGGCGAUCCCUCCAAUUGACAUCGUUUGCGUAAAAAGUUUGAGAAAUUGAGAAGGUCCAUGCAGCUGAGUUACUUGCUCUUGUGAAUAGGCACAACUAGCCUCACUGAACAAAUUAUCAAAUGUUUGUUGGUAUCAUCACUAAAUGAGUCACUUGAUUGCAGUAACUUUUUUGAGUAGCAUAUGCAUUCUUCAAAGAGGUCACAUGUCUGCAGUGAAAUUCAGACCAAGAUUAUCACUAAUUGGACAAGUUUGUUCUGGAGUUAGCGACCUGGAUCAUACCUGCACUGCUUUCAGCUCAUGCUACUCAGGUAUUUGAUUGUUGAUAUGCAGUACAGGAGUAUGGAAUCAUGCAUCACCAGUUUGGACAAUGAAGAGGCCUUUGACAAAAUACCCAGAGACACAGACAAUGGGUGUGCUCUUCAAAAUAGGUUUUGGGGAAGGAAUCUAUAGUUGAUUUGAAUUGUUCUACAUAAAGAUCAGUAGUGCAGUUUCAGUCCGAGAAAGGAAUCAGAAGAUUUCCUUUCAAAUUUAGAAUCAAGCAGGGCUGCCCUCUCUUGUCUGCUUUGUUUGUGUGGUGUUUUGUUUUUGCUGAGUGUAAGAGGGUUGAUAAACUCAAGACCAGAGCUGUGAAGGUCAAAGGCCCCUGUGCAUAGAUGGUAUCAACAUCUUGACUCUGUUGUAAGUUCACAGAGUAAACCUUGGCAAAAGUGCAGCUGUGUUCUUUGGGAACUAGCCUGAAUGAUCUUCUGCCCCAUUCACUGUUAUAUCAGAUUAUUUGAAGGUGCUGGGACGUGCUCAGGUCAGUUAGACCAUAUGCAUGUGUACCACCUAUCCCUUCUGAAAAUGUUUCUGUAGAAAAGUCAUCUUUGAUCAGAGUCCAUCAGGCUGUGGUCAGUGUGUAACAUCUGAGGCCCUGUAGGAGGAAGAUAGAAUAGAUCCUAAUGUUGAGCAAACUGUUGACAUACUUUUGCUGAAGGCUUAAGUGUCAGAACUAUUAAGCUAACUCCAAGGUGUAGCUUUGCUCGUGGUGAGAAUUCCUCCACAUGCUGAGUGAGGUGGUGAAGGGAUAGCCAAGCACCUUUGCUUUUCAAAAACACAUUCCUUAAAAAUAGAUCUGGAAAAAGGUUAAAUGUUUUUUGCCAAGAUUCAUCUUGAGCAGCUCCAUAAUGUAGAAUUCUGUGCACUACAGGCUGUUUCCAGAAAUGUGUAAAGUUCAACAUCAGCAGCUGGAGGGCCAUCAUCACAGUAAAAGAUACAUUUUUGUCUGCCUAAAACCUUCAGGUUGACCCAUGCAAAGAGCAAUCAACAAUCUAGUAUUACAGUCUGGCAGUUUCCGAGUUCCUGCGCUGUGUGUUGAGAGAAGUACCAGAACUUGGCCCACCUGCUGCAGAAACACAAUGGGGAAACACCAGGAGCUGGAAACUAUGUAAAAACCUUUUGGGUUGUAUAGUUGACGUGAAACGAAUAUAAACUGUAUCCACAUGUGUAGAAAUGCAUCUCAGUAUGUCACACGCUGUAUUGAAAGAAACUGAUCUAUUUUGCACUUUAAGUAAAGACAAUGUUGAACUAU
Long non-coding RNA from Chiloscyllium plagiosum (whitespotted bambooshark), 2491 nucleotides. RefSeq lists it as uncharacterized. NCBI's taxonomy places the organism in Eukaryota, Metazoa, Chordata, Chondrichthyes, Orectolobiformes, Hemiscylliidae. The record is from RefSeq and is a predicted model, not a curated record.